CGGGGUGUAGCGCAGUUGGCUAGCGUGCUACGUUCGGGACGUAGAGGUCGCGAGUUCGAAUCUCGCCACCCCGA
Molecule: transfer RNA, 74 nt
Filed under: Bacteroidetes bacterium GWA2_30_7
Lineage: Bacteria; Pseudomonadati; Bacteroidota
Description: tRNA-Pro
Rfam family: tRNA
About the family: Transfer RNA (tRNA) molecules are approximately 80 nucleotides in length. Their secondary structure includes four short double-helical elements and three loops (D, anti-codon, and T loops).
Source: RNAcentral